UACAGAGGGGGCAAGCGUUAUUCGGAAUUAUUGGGCGUAAAGGGCGCGUAGGCGGCCUGGCAAGUGGAAGGUGAAAUCCCUCGGCUUAACCGAGGAACUGCCUCCCAAACUGCUUGGCUUGAGACCGGGAGAGGUGAGUGGAAUUCCCAGUGUAGCGGUGAAAUGCGUAGAUAUUGGGAGGAACACCAGUGGCGAAGGCGGCUCACUGGACCGGUACUGACGCUGAUGCGCGAAAGCGUGGGGAGCAAACGGGG
This 254-nucleotide ribosomal RNA is filed under the name uncultured bacterium. RNAcentral's name for it is "partial 16S ribosomal RNA". It matches the Rfam family "Bacterial small subunit ribosomal RNA", at positions 524 to 777 of the family's 1533-position model. The record is from RNAcentral.